UACGUAGGGUGCGAGCGUUGUCCGGAAUUAUUGGGCGUAAAGCGCACGUAGGCGGAUCAGCAAGUUAGGGGUGAAAUCCCGGGGCUCAACCCCGGAACUGCCUUUAAAACUGUUGGUCUGGAGGUCGAGAGAGGUGAGUGGAAUUCCGAGUGUAGAGGUGAAGUUCGUAGAUAUUCGGAGGAACACCAGUGGCGAAGGCGGCUCACUGGCUCGAUACUGACGCUGAGGUGCGAAAGCGUGGGGAGCAAACAGG
Molecule: ribosomal RNA, 253 nt
Filed under: uncultured bacterium
Lineage: Bacteria
Description: partial 16S ribosomal RNA
Rfam family: Bacterial small subunit ribosomal RNA
Source: RNAcentral